UACGGAGGGUCCAAGCGUUAUCCGGAAUCAUUGGGUUUAAAGGGUGCGCAGGCGGUAAAGUAAGUCAGUGGUGAAAUCUCUUCGCUCAACGAAGAAACUGCCAUUGAUACUGCUAUACUUGAAUAUAGUUGAAGCAGGCGGAAUGUGUAGUGUAGCGGUGAAAUGCUUAGAUAUUACACAGAACACCGAUAGCGAAGGCAGCUUACUAAACUAAUAUUGACGCUCAUGCACGAAAGCGUGGGGAGCAAACAGG
This 253-nucleotide ribosomal RNA is filed under the name uncultured bacterium. RNAcentral's name for it is "partial 16S ribosomal RNA". It matches the Rfam family "Bacterial small subunit ribosomal RNA", at positions 524 to 776 of the family's 1533-position model. The record is from RNAcentral.